GUGUAUGAUGAAUUAUCUGACC
This 22-nucleotide microRNA is filed under the name Bos taurus (domestic cattle). Its description in RNAcentral is "bta-miR-2318". The record is from miRBase by way of RNAcentral. Lineage: Eukaryota; Metazoa; Chordata; Mammalia; Artiodactyla; Bovidae.